Molecule: unclassified non-coding RNA, 520 nt
Filed under: uncultured Glomus
Lineage: Eukaryota; Fungi; Glomeromycota; Glomeromycetes; Glomerales; Glomeraceae
Description: SSU rRNA
Rfam family: Eukaryotic small subunit ribosomal RNA
Source: RNAcentral
AGCAGCCGCGGUAAUUCCAGCUCCAAUAGCGUAUAUUAAAGUUGUUGCAGUUAAAAAGCUCGUAGUUGAAUUUCGGGAUCAAUAUAUCGGUCGUGCCUUGGUACGUACUGGUAUCAUUGGUUUCUCCUUUCUGACGAACCAUGAUGUCAUUAAUUUGGUGUUAUGGGAAGUUAGGACUGUUACUUUGAAAAAUUAGAGUGUUUAAAGCAGGCUUUAGCUUGAAUACAUUAGCAUGGAAUAAUGGAAUAGGACGUUCGAACCUAUUUUGUUGGUUUCUAGGAUCAACGUAAUGAUUAAUAGGGAUAGUUGGGGGCAUUAGUAUUCAAUUGUCAGAGGUGAAAUUCUUGGAUUUAUUGAAGACUAACUACUGCGAAAGCAUUUGCCAAGGAUGUUUUCAUUAAUCAAGAACGAAAGUUAGGGGAUCGAAGACGAUCAGAUACCGUCGUAGUCUUAACCAUAAACUAUGCCGACUAGGGAUCGGAUGAUGUUAAUUUUUUAAUGUACUCAUUCGGCGCCUUAC